This is a ribosomal RNA of 558 nucleotides. It matches the Rfam family "Bacterial large subunit ribosomal RNA", at positions 1846 to 2586 of the family's 2925-position model.
UAAGAGGUCUCGCCUGCCCAGUGACUAAUAUGUUCAACGGCCGCGGUAUUUUGACCGUGCGAAGGUAGCGUAAUCACUUGUCUUUUAAAUGGGGACCUGUAUGAACGGCACAACGAGGGCUCUACUGUCUCCUCUUUCAAGUCAAUGAAAUUGAUCUUUCCGUGCAGAAGCGGGAAUAUGAACAUAAGACGAGAAGACCCUAUGGAGCUUUAGACACCAGGACAGCCCAUGUCAAUUACCCCAAAUAAGGGACAUAAACUGAAUGGCCCCUGCCCUAAUGUCUUUGGUUGGGGUGACCGCGGCGAAAAACGUAACCUCCGCGUGGAACGGGAGAACCUUACAUUUACUUAAUGCUCCUCCAACUAAGAGCGACAGCUCUAAGAAACAAAACUUUUGACCAAAAUUGAUCCGGCAAUGCCGAUCAACGGACCGAGUUACCCUAGGGAUAACAGCGCAAUCCCCUUUUAGAGCCCCUAUCAACAAGGGGGUUUACGACCUCGAUGUUGGAUCAGGACAUCCUAAUGGCGCAGCCACUAUUAAGGGUUCGUUUGUUCAACG